CAGAAAUUUAUAUUGACACUCGAACUCGAAAAGAUGGAAGCAUUGUUACUGAAAAGGCUGCUAUUGUAAUUGAUGAACUAAAAAAGAAAAUGGUUGAAGCAGAGAGUUCGCAAAAUUUACAAAGCACGCAAGAUUCUACUGAUUGGACAAAUGAUAUAUAUUCAAAAGUCAAAGGACCUGAAAAAAGAGGACGUGUGCGUUGUCUUGGCAAGCUUCCACAUCAAGCAAGUUCAUCUCAAAGCUCUUAUACAAACAAUAGAAUUCAAAAGUUGGAGAAUUUGCUUGGAAACCUUGUAGCUGUGCUUAAAGUACGAUUUGCAGAAGAUCCACAAAUUAAUCAAGUCUUAGAAGCUAUAGAUCAAGAGGUACCUACAAAUGAUUCUACCGGUAAAGAUCAUCAAACUACAAACAAUCUUAGCUAGAGUCUUGUUCCUUUUACUUGAAUGAUGAUUUGGAAAGCCCUCGUGCAAUUGGACCCUUCUUUAGGCUCUCACGGUCAAGGAAAAGAUGAUGGCAGCAUCAACCACAUGAUUAUUCUGUUUGUGU
Glycine soja is the source of this 546-nucleotide long non-coding RNA. RefSeq lists it as uncharacterized. Lineage: Eukaryota; Viridiplantae; Streptophyta; Magnoliopsida; Fabales; Fabaceae. The transcript has 4 exons. The record is from RefSeq and is a predicted model, not a curated record.